RNAcentral lists this ribosomal RNA (301 nucleotides) under uncultured bacterium. RNAcentral describes it as "partial 16S ribosomal RNA". It matches the Rfam family "Bacterial small subunit ribosomal RNA", at positions 509 to 807 of the family's 1533-position model. The record is from RNAcentral.
CAGCCGCCACGGUAAUACGGAGGGGGCUAGCGUUGUUCGGAAUUACUGGGCGUAAAGCGCACGUAGUCGGCUUGGUAAGUUAGAGGUGAAAGCCCAGGGCUCAACCCUGGAAUUGCCUUUAAGACUGCCGAGCUAGUAGGUGAGAGAGGUAAGUGGAAUUCCGAGUGUAGAGGUGAAAUUCGUAGAUAUUCGGAAGAACACCAGUGGCGAAGGCGGCUUACUGGCUCAUUCUAGACGCUGAGGUGCGAAAGCGUGGGGAGCAAACAGGAUUAGAUACCCCUGUAGUCCCUGUCUCUUAUAC